This 403-nucleotide ribosomal RNA is filed under the name uncultured bacterium. RNAcentral's name for it is "partial 16S ribosomal RNA". It matches the Rfam family "Bacterial small subunit ribosomal RNA", at positions 30 to 526 of the family's 1533-position model. The record is from RNAcentral.
AUUGAACGCUGGCGGCAGGCCUAACACAUGCAAGUCGAGCGAGCGGCGGACGGGUGAGUAAUGUAUGGGGACUGCCCGAUAGAGGGGGAUAACUACUGGAAACGGUGGCUAAUACCGCAUACUAUCGGAUAACCCAUAUGGGAUUAGCUAGUGGGUAAGGUAACGGCUUACCUAGGCGACGAUCACUAGCUGGUCUGAGAGGAUGAUCAACCACACUGUGACUGAUACACGGCCCAGACUCCUACGGAGGCAGCAGUGGGGAAUAUUGCACAAUGGGCUCAAGCCUGAUGCAGCCAUGCCGCGUGUAUGAAGAAUGCCUUCGGGUUGUAAAGUACUUUCAGUCGGGAGGCGUUACCGGCAGGAGAAGCACCGGCUAACUCCGUGCCAGCAGCCGCGGUAAUUC